UACAGAGGGCCCAAGCGUUGUUCGGAUUCACUGGGCGUAAAGGGUGCGUAGGCGGUCGGGUAAGUCUGAUGUGAAAUCUCACAGCUUAACUGUGAAACUGCAUUGGAUACUAUCCGGCUAGAGGAAUGGAGGGGAGACUGGAAUACUUGGUGUAGCAGUGAAAUGCGUAGAUAUCAAGUGGAACACCAGUGGCGAAGGCGAGUCUCUGGACAUUUCCUGACGCUGAGGCACGAGAGCCUGGGGAGCAAACGGG
This 253-nucleotide ribosomal RNA is filed under the name uncultured bacterium. RNAcentral describes it as "partial 16S ribosomal RNA". It matches the Rfam family "Bacterial small subunit ribosomal RNA", at positions 524 to 776 of the family's 1533-position model. The record is from RNAcentral.